Molecule: non-coding RNA, 85 nt
Organism: Acanthosepion pharaonis
Lineage: Eukaryota; Metazoa; Mollusca; Cephalopoda; Sepiida; Sepiidae
Source: the annotation of a GenBank genome assembly
CUUGUCCCCGUACAAUCAUCGAAGUUAAACAACGUCGAGCCUGGUCAGUACCUAGAUGAGUGACCUCUUGGGAAUACCAGGUGCU